AGCAGUCGCCGCGGUAAUACGGAGGGUGCGAGCGUUAAUCGGAAUUACUGGGCGUAAAGCGUACGCAGGCGGUUUGUUAAGUCAGAUGUGAAAUCCCCGAGCUUAACUCGGGAACUGCAUUUGAAACUGGCAGGCUAGAGUCUCGUAGAGGGGGGUAGAAUUCCAGGUGUAGCGGUGAAAUGCGUAGAGAUCUGGAGGAAUACCGGUGGCGAAGGCGGCCCCCUGGACGAAGACUGACGCUCAGGUACGAAAGCGUGGGGAGCAAACAGGAUUAGAUACCCCGGUAGUCCCUGUCUCUUAUAA
This 303-nucleotide ribosomal RNA is filed under the name uncultured bacterium. Its description in RNAcentral is "partial 16S ribosomal RNA". It matches the Rfam family "Bacterial small subunit ribosomal RNA", at positions 507 to 809 of the family's 1533-position model. The record is from RNAcentral.